UUUAUUGGAGAGUUUGAUCCUGGCUCAGGACGAACGCUGGCGGCGUGCCUAAUACAUGCAAGUCGAGCGAGGGUUUUCGAACCCUAGCGGCGGACGGGUGAGUAACACGUAGGCAACCUGCCUCUCAGACCGGGAUAACAUAGGGAAACUUAUGCUAAUACCGGAUAGGUUUUUGGAUCGCAUGAUCUGAAAAGGAAAGAUGGCGUUUGCUAUCACUGGGAGAUGGGCCUGCGGCGCAUUAGCUAGUUGGUGGGGUAACGGCCUACCAAGGCGACGAUGCGUAGCCGACCUGAGAGGGUGACCGGCCACACUGGGACUGAGACACGGCCCAGACUCCUACGGGAGGCAGCAGUAGGGAAUUUUCCACAAUGGACGAAAGUCUGAUGGAGCAACGCCGCGUGAACAAUGAAGGUCUUCGGAU
Molecule: ribosomal RNA, 421 nt
Filed under: Brevibacillus gelatini
Lineage: Bacteria; Bacillati; Bacillota; Bacilli; Caryophanales; Paenibacillaceae
Description: bacterial SSU rRNA
Rfam family: Bacterial small subunit ribosomal RNA
Source: RNAcentral